This 274-nucleotide ribosomal RNA is filed under the name uncultured bacterium. RNAcentral describes it as "partial 16S ribosomal RNA". It matches the Rfam family "Bacterial small subunit ribosomal RNA", at positions 523 to 796 of the family's 1533-position model. The record is from RNAcentral.
AUACGGAGGGUGCGAGCGUUAAUCGGAAUUACUGGGCGUAAAGCGUACGUAGGCGGUUGGUUAAGUUAGAUGUGAAAGCCCCGGGCUUAACCUGGGAACUGCAUUUAAAACUGGCGAACUAGAGUUGAGUAGAGGGGAGUGGAAUUUCAGGUGUAGCGGUGAAAUGCGUAGAGAUCUGAAGGAACACCAGUGGCGAAGGCGACUCCCUGGACUCGAACUGACGCUGAGGUACGAAAGCGUGGGUAGCAAAUGGGAUUAGAAACCCUAGUAGUCC